UACGGAGGAUCCAAGCGUUAUCCGGAAUCAUUGGGUUUAAAGGGUCCGUAGGCGGGCCUGUAAGUCAGUGGUGAAAUCCGGCGGCUUAACCGUCGAACUGCCAUUGAUACUGCAGGCCUUGAAUUAUUGGGAAGUAACUAGAAUAUGUAGUGUAGCGGUGAAAUGCUUAGAUAUUACAUGGAAUACCGAUUGCGAAGGCAGGUUACUAUCAAUAUAUUGACGCUGAUGGACGAAAGCGUGGGGAGCGAACAGG
RNAcentral lists this ribosomal RNA (253 nucleotides) under uncultured bacterium. Its description in RNAcentral is "partial 16S ribosomal RNA". It matches the Rfam family "Bacterial small subunit ribosomal RNA", at positions 524 to 776 of the family's 1533-position model. The record is from RNAcentral.